GAUUAGGGUAGUAUUGGAUGUUAAAGUACCUGAAAUGAUGAAGAAUGUCUGUACAUUCUUCUAGAUUUGUUUCAGUCCUAAAAUAUUAUAUUAGUUAUAAUGUAUGUGAAAAUAUCCUUACUAUUAGAAUUGCUUAUCCUUUCUCAAAUUUUUUAGUGGCUUAGUACUUAGUACUUCCACCGCUGUAUGCCAUAGCUGCAAUAAGCAAGCAGUAACAGGAGCCACCAUCCCACCUUUGUCAGGUCACAAGGCAGAAUCAGAAACAAGUCUACCAAAAAAUGUCAUCCCUAAUAAUUUCUGGUACUUUAAUUUUAAAGUUUUAGUUGAUAUUCAUCCAAUCAAAUAUAUAGCUGAGGUAUAUGUUUGUGAGAAAUUGAACUGUUUAGGGUGGUGGGUUACACUCACUCCCCUAAUCAUGUAUUCUGUUUCCUUCCAGACAUCCCCCAUUUGAGACCAGCGCCAGUGUAUGUACAUUACUACAACUCAAGACAAUGAAAACAUUUAUAGUAUAAAAAUUCCAUACAUGGCAGUUCACAUUGUUUUUAUUAAAUGGAUUAUAAAUUUCUUUUUGGAAAUAAAGUAUCUAGCUAUAAUCCAAAACACUCAAAAUCGAGUUGCUGUACUGCCCCAUAUCAAACAGGUGUCUUUCCAUUGUCUCUUCUCAAGACCUAGGAAAAGCAGCCUUUGAGGAUUCGUUUGGAUUGUGAGGCGACGUCUCCUUCUCCGUGACAACUUCAGCGGACCGUGACCGGGCCACGAUAGUGGUGCGGACCUCGUCCCAAUAUAGAUCAAGGAAGCUCUAGAGUCAGCUUUCUCGGAGGGAUCAUUUCAUCCCACUCCUAACUCAUGCUCCUUACCGAGUCUCUACUGAAUAUUGUGACUUAGCCAGAAGAACACUUCCCUCUGGCUGGUUGGAACUCCAAUGACCUCUAGCCUUGUAGGAGUCUUGGCAACCAUCUGGUUCCAUUGCCUUGACUCUUUGUCAGAACCUGGAGCAUUUUCUAAGACACACACUGCUACCUAUGGACCAAGGACUCAAGAGGACUCCAGUGUGUAUUUCCAAGAGUUUGAUUUCUACUUGACUUACUUCUCUCUUGAACCCAUGGCCUUUUCAUCACUCCAGCCUUCCUGAAUCCCAAUCUCUCUUUCCUCACAGCAGGGAGACUUCCAUCUUUUCCUUGGAAUCUCCUCCCUACGUGCACCAUCCAGAACUAUUCCAGGUGAAAAUUCAAGUGAAUCCUGGGGCUCAGUUUUUGUUUGUUUGCUUGCUUGCUUGCUUGCUUUCCUUUUCACAUGGUUUUCAAGUGUCCGUUUGUUUUCAAUGUUUUAAAGAGUUAUUUAUAUAGAUAGACAUAGAUAUAGAUAUACAUAUAGAUAUAGAUAUAAACAUAUCUAUAGAUAGAUAGAUAGAUUUUUUUCUCUUUUCCAAUUCCUCAUGGGCUUCUGAUUGGUUACUUUUCCUCUAACAGGGUUGUAUUAGCUUUCUAGGGGUGCUAUUACAAGAUACCACAAGCCUAGAGGCUGAAACAACAGAAGUGGACAGUAUCACAGUUCUAGAGGAUACAGUGUUCGUAGACCAUGCUCCUUUUGGAGGUAUUAUGGGAGGAUCUGUUCCAGGCCACUUUCCCAGCUUGAUGCAUUUGGACUUUGGACUUCUUCACAUGGCCCUCUCCCUCAGUGCAUAUCUGUGUAUCCACAGUCUCCCUUAGAAGGACACAAGUCCUCCUGAAUUAGGGGCCCAGGCUAUUCAAAUAUGAUCUCAUCCACACUAGUUACAUCUCCAGGGACCCUAUUUUCAAAUAAGGUCACAAACCCAGGUGCUGGGGUUUAGGACUGGGAUAGUAUAUAUGCAUACACACACAAACACACACACACGUGUGUGUGUGUAUG
Molecule: long non-coding RNA, 1890 nt
Organism: Mustela lutreola (European mink)
Lineage: Eukaryota; Metazoa; Chordata; Mammalia; Carnivora; Mustelidae
Exons: 4
Source: RefSeq, a predicted model, not a curated record